AUUACUAAUAUACGUUUUAACAGGACUCUUCUUCGAGAAUUUCAUGAAACUUCCAUUUAGACCAUCACUUUUUUCUUGCUUGGCUGGUGAUGACGGUCGCGGUUGUUCUAUCUUCUUCUUGUUUCCUUUAUUCAUUUCCUUUCCUUUAUCAGUAUCCCACCUGUCGCUGAAGUCAGUGUAGAAGUUGUCCAAAUCAUUUUUAUUGAAUCUUGUUUGGACAUUAGAGUACGGAUUGUAUGGAGAUAAGGUUUUGGGCAUUUUUUCGUAAGAAGAACCAGAAAAGAAAGACUUGAAGCUUUGUAAGGUUUUCUGGAAGAAUUUCUUGGUGUUGGAGAAGGAGCUUUUUAGCAACAUUGUCAAUGGUGGUGGUUAGUUCAGUUGUUUUAUGUGGAGGUACAAAAGAAACAGAUACUAUUUGUCUCUCUAUCUCUCAGUUUCUUUAUAGAGAAAGAAGAGAUAGAGGAGCCAUGAAAGGUUCUUGAAAUUACUAAAGAGAAAGAAAAGAGAAUGCAGUGGGCAGCAUUAUGUCUGUUUGUCUUUACACGCUCUUCUUUUUUCUUUUUGUUGUAUUAAUUUCUUGAAAUCCAGCUGAGUCCCCACCCACUGAUCAUAUCUCUCUCCCACACACGAAGGUAUCGAAAGAAAAUGGUAAAGCUUAUGUGAAAGUUUGAUGAAUAUUUAUUAUAAGAAAGUUUUCCAUCAUUUUUACUUUGUAAGGUGGAGUUGGUGUGUAGGGCUCUUUGGGAGAAAGGAAAGGAAAGGAGCGGGUGUGGUUGUUGAACUGGCUCUUUCUUUCUCUACAUUCUUUGGCUCUAGCGGCUUGUUGGUAAGAGUUCUGUUAUCGUAUAUUGCCUGCUGUUCUCCCUAUAUAUACACAUACAAAUACAUUCUCAUUGUACAUCCCCAUAUAAGAUUUAAUUCAAUAAUAAAUAAUGGGGCCACAGAAUUGCAAAUUAAGUAUUAUCAACUAUAUUAAUCACAUGGAGACAAAAAAAAAAAAAAAAAUUGUGUGUGAAGAUUUUUUUUUAAUUUUAUGAUAUGGCUCUAUAAAUCAAAUUUUAAUUAACAAAAUGAGAGUAAACUCACUUGUUUAAUGAAUUAUGAGUUUAAAUUUAAUAAAUACUACUAACUAAUUAGUAGGAUAAUUAAAAUCAUUGGAGGUAGGCAUGACGUCUAUGUAAUAAGGUGUAGAGUAUCUCUCUCAUAGACACUUCAAUCAUUAGGAUGUCUCUUUUAAUCGAUGUAGUAAUUAGUAAUUAGGAUUAGAUUUGUUUAUUUUGCUCGUAAUAUAUUAAAAUGUUUUGGUUCGAGAAUCAUAAGAUGAUGGACCAUUCCCUCCCCACUAUAAGACAAAUUCCCGUGAAUCACGGAUUGGAUCGACUUGCACUAUUUCUACACUAUUAAUUAAGUCAAAACCAACACUAAUUGACCAAAAGUAAGCCAUAAGACCAACAAUGUCUCUAAUCAUUGAUGAUUUUUUUUUUUUUUUGGGAUGAAUGAUAUUAUUUUAUUUGAUACAUUAAUACCCAAUUAAUAUUUAAAAUUGAAUCAUUAACUACUAUAGUAAGCAAUUUAUCAUUGUAUUCUAACAAUAUUGAAAUUAAUUUUUUUUACACCCAAAUAUAAACCUAUAGCCUGGGUGAUUCCAUAGAUUGCAGGGGCAACGUAUGUUACCGUUAAGCAGCAUAAUUAUACUUUGGCUUUUUAGGUAUUAUUAUUAUUAUUAUUAUUAUUAUAAAGAAUGUUGGCGGCUCGGAGUAGGAGUUAAUGGAAGACAAAAGUGACUAGUGAUUAGGACAAGAGAGCUGUUGAGGUCUAAGAGAAGAUAUAGGGAUAGUUGUAUACUUUUUGAUAAUGUUUGACCAAUUGCUACUGGCCACGCGUUUUGGCGUUCGGAACCAGUCUCCAUCCCUAUCUAGUUCCUUACUAUUCACUCUGACCUAACGGGAACCGCUCUUCGUACGGCUUCAUUUUUUUUUACCCUUUAUUAAUUAACCACUUCCUAUGACUUUUCAAUUUCAUCAAGUAACACAAGAAAUAAGUAAAGCUUUAAUCAAGAAAGCAUCAACCUAAGAAAAAAAAAUGAAAAUAGAAAAGAAAGACAAAUAAAUAAUGUGAAAACAAGUUGUAUUGAUAUAUUAUUCACUUGCCUUUACAACCAGCAUAAUAGGAAUUUCACUAAAUGGGGAUACAAUGCCUAUCUAAAUUGGAAAUAAAACCUUAUAAAAAUUAAAGUUUAAUAUAAAAAAAAAAGAUUUAUAAAAUUAUUCUGAGUGGAAACAAAUUUGUAUAAUUACUAACUAUGACGGUAUAUUUGCAACUUUUUUGGACCCUAAAACUUAAUUUUAAGCCGAUGUCAAUAUUACUAUGGAAAAUAAUAUUUAUCUAAUGAAUGGUAAACGUUCAUUUUCACCUUUAUUUCUAUCAUUUUCAUAUGAAAGACGAGAAAGAAGAGGAAAAUGAGAAAGUUCCUUACGGCACCUAGUUUAAAUGUAUGGAAUUCUAUUCGAUUUCAUCAUCUUACUAGUUGUUACAUAAAAUUAGAAAGGCUUGGCAAAGAGCCUCCUAAAAUGAUGUAUGAAGCUGCUUUUCUUUGAGAAGAUGUAUGCAGCUUUUAUAAGCAAAUGAAGCAAAUGAAGGUGAAAAAACGGAAAUGCCAAACAAAGUCAAAAAAAAAAAAAAAAAAAAAAAAAAAAAAAAAAAAAAAAGUGAGGGACAUUAAUCAUCCAGAAUUAUAGCUCUUACAUGUUCUCUCUUGAACAACAACAGAAAAACCAAACACAUAAAUAAAAUCAUUUAGGCACUAUACAAGCACAAACUUUUAAACCAUUUAACCAUUCACAGAUGUCAUAUAGACAUUAGUCAUCCAGCAUUAAUGUGAUACUUCCAUAUAAACUUUAUCAAACCAGUAAUAAUAUCAAUAGCUGUUAGAGUUUCUCUUGAACUAUAGAAAAACCGAAUACAUCUACUAGUUGCAGUGCAACAAAGACAUUCUCCAUUAACAGAGACAAACACAUUCUCUAUCCUCCAUCAACAAAAUCAACAUCUUCAUCUGACCUCAGCGAGCUUCAUACUGAACAACUGCAAGAGGCAAACUUUUUGUGUUAAACCAAAUGAUUAAGCACUGAUAAGUCUUAAGAGUCAAGGGAGUCUGCAUCAGACAAACCAUAAGAUUUUGCUGAAAUCUAGACAUGUAAAAUAUACAUGUGGGAGAAGUGUCUAUGAAAGGAUAUAAAGGCCAAACAAGAAACAAGCACUAAAUGCAUGGUUACAACUGUUGCAUUGUAAACAUGUCAGUAUGUUGCAAAUUGUGGCCGGCACCAUAAAGAAACUUCUUAAAAAAAAAAAAAAAAAAAAUCAAAAAAAAACAAAAAAAAAAAAAAAAAAAAAAAAAAAAAAAAAAAGAAAA
RNAcentral lists this long non-coding RNA (3409 nucleotides) under Jatropha curcas. Its description in RNAcentral is "long non-coding RNA (JCUR_LNC001841)". Lineage: Eukaryota; Viridiplantae; Streptophyta; Magnoliopsida; Malpighiales; Euphorbiaceae. The record is from RNAcentral.